Long non-coding RNA from Acipenser ruthenus (sterlet), 1517 nucleotides. RefSeq lists it as uncharacterized. The record is from RefSeq and is a predicted model, not a curated record. Lineage: Eukaryota; Metazoa; Chordata; Actinopteri; Acipenseriformes; Acipenseridae. The transcript has 3 exons.
CUCAUUAUCAGUGAGACUACUGAGUGACAGCACAUUCCUAGGUUUUAUUGGAGACUCCGCUUGCGAGAUUUAAAACGAGGAUGGAGGCUUGUUAGACGGAUUUCAAGCUGAGUUACAGUUAAGACUCGGAGGAUUUAAAGCAGAAUUGAUGCAAAAUGUACAAAAAAUGCCUCCACACAAAAACCCCAGAAGAAUGUGCCCGUGACCCAGAGGGAUUUCACAGUGGAAGACAGCAAAGUUACUACUGUACAUAUUUUGACAUGCACACACAAAAAAAAAACGCUCAAGCAUUUUGGAAAGUAACCGAAAACACUAAUUUCGUACAGUACAUCAAAAACGAAAGCCCCGGAAAAAAAAAACAACGAUUUACAUAAAACUCGAAAACAGCUAAAAAAAAAAAAAGCACCGAAAAAUACAAUUAAUAAAAUAUUAAUAAAACCCCCAAAAACCGAAGCCCGAGAUAUAAUGCAUCUCAGCAAACUGCAGAAGAGGAAGUGAAAAUCGAACACAUUUCAUAACAUGUCCUACACAAAGAGGAAGUGAAAGACUGGACAGCAGCUCACAGGACCCCCAUGCCCAAUUCAAAUGUAACUCCUGACGUUAGCAUGAUUUCCACGGGACUAAAAAUCACAAUCAGGUGGUUUUUGAAUUUUUACCGACCCCUGCGCUGACUCGGGAGAGCAAAGACGAAUGUUACGAAGGACAAUUAAGUCAAAAGCAAAAGCGCACGGGAAUGUCCUUGGUUUGUACAAGAUGCCCAGAAAUGUGACAAACCCCCGACCGACGCACAAACGGCAGCGCAGCGCGGACAAUAAAGUCAUCAAUCUGGGACAGGAGUGGGACAGAGCUGAAACGGAUCCACGGCAAUGUCCCUCCUGUGUGAAGUUACCAAGCAGCCCAGCUCGGACAGACGAACUUGGACAAAAAUACUGAAAAUAUAUAUAUUUUUUAAAAAAGUUAAAUAUAAAAAAUGUCUGAAUUAUUGGAAUGGUUCAAAAACAACAUUAUUUGUUUAUUAGCAGACACCUUUAUCCAAGGCGACUUACAGAGGCUAGGGUGUGUGAACUAUGCAUCAGCUGCAGAGUCACUUACAACUACGUCUCACCCGAAAGACGGAGCACAAGGAGGUUAAGUGACUUGCUCAGGGUCACACAAUGAGUCAGUGGCUGAGGUGGGAUUUGAACCGGGGACCUCCUGGUUACAAGCCCUUUUCUUUAACCACUGGACCCCGAUAUAUAUAUCGGGCAGCAGUGUGGAGUAGUGGUUAAGGCUCUGGACUCUUGACCGGAGGGUUGUGGGUUCAAUCCCAGGUGGGGGACCGCUGCUGCUGUACCCUUGAGCAAGGUACUUUACCUCGAUUGCUCCAGUAAAAACCCAACUGUAUAAAUGGGGAAUUGUAUGCAAAAAUAAUGUGAUAUCUGUAUAAUGUGAAAUAAUGUGAUAUCUUGUAACAAUUGUAAGUCGCCCUGGAUAAGGGCGUCUGCUAAGAAAUAAAUAAUAAUAAUGAAACAACACAA